This 4992-nucleotide unclassified non-coding RNA is filed under the name Pocillopora damicornis (cauliflower coral). Its description in RNAcentral is "stonin-2-like, transcript variant X1". Lineage: Eukaryota; Metazoa; Cnidaria; Anthozoa; Scleractinia; Pocilloporidae. The record is from RNAcentral.
UUGUUUUUCUUCUGGAUGGUUGAUGUUGAAUCUUAAAUGAUAAGCUGAUGUUGAUGUUUGCUAUGUAGCGUGACACAAUGGACGAAAACAGUGGGGCUCCGCCUGAAUCAGUAAACCGCGCUUCAUGGGAGAAUUUCGAGGGAGAGAAUGGCAAGAUUAACAACCAUAUUUGUCACGAUAUUUCCUCUGGUGUGAAGGAAGAAAAUCUUUCUGACAACAGUGCAUUAAUUAGCGAUCCUAAAGCUCUCAGACAACCCGGUAAUUCUUCACUUAAUGGUGAGAAGAGCCUCACAGGAACUGACUUUAAGGAGAAUUUAGAUGAGAAAUCACAACAUUUGGAGACAUCACCGAGCGCGAUAGAACAAUUUAAUCUUGAACCUGUAGUUGAUUCCUCGAAUCGUCUGGAAACGAGCGAUCAGGGAUUAGAUAACGCGUUAGGUAAUCGCGAAUCUUCUCUAAUAUCGAAUACAGGUGAACUGUCUACCGAAAAAAAUUUCAUUCAAUCAAACGAUUUAUCGGAGCGCUCGGCAGAUGGUAUUGUGCUGAACGGAGAAAGCGAAUCACGCUUUUCAGCUGUCGACGAACCGCUUGCCGGAGAAAAGGUUAUUUCUUCAUCAAAAUGGACCACGUUUGAGGAUAGUCGUGAUAAAGAAUUGCACACAGAUGGAGUUGAAAGCAAAUCUGAAGAGUUAUCGAUCGACGAAAAACAGAAAAACUCGAAUAUAAACACACCCAGGACAACCCCGAACAUGGCGGCUUUUGAUUCCCAAGCCGCAGUAACCACAAAUAUUAUCUCCAAUUUGCCUACCGUAACCGACCCCGGUACCUUUGAGGUUCACGCUGCAUCAUUUAAUCAUAAAAAAAAUGGAGAAGGUUUAGCUUCGAAUUCUUUAUCUACGAGCGCUAUGCGAUCAGCUGUUCCUAUUGUCAACCAAGCUUCACCUAACGACAAUGGCGCCCUUCCCUUGUCUUCAGGCAGUUCACAGGAGCCCCGACCCAGCCAUACCUCAAUCACAAACCAUCUAAAAGGAACUGAAUGGGUCAGUUUUGGUGAGGAAGGGAAUUCCAAAGAAAACCAGGCGGGCAAAACAAGUGUAAGUGGGAACGAACAUGGUAACUUAGAAACGGCGAAGCGUCCUGUUGAAAACGAUCUUCGGAAAGGCGAUUUAGCUGUUAAUGACACAAAACAUACAUCAACCUCUACCGUUUUACGAGUAGAAAAGGAGUUGAAUGGAAAAAGUUCAGACCAAACAGCUUCAGUAAUUCCUCCCGUGUCGUUUACCUCGGCCGAAUUGGAUUUACUUGCGAGUAAAUCGUGGAUACAGUUCGAUGAGUCUAGCAACAGUAAGUCAGUGCUGCAAUCGAACUCAAGCGUUGUUCAAACAUCGUCCGCUUCUCACUCGUGGGUCACGUUUGGUGAUUCCAACAUCCCGGUAGGUCAGAAUUUAGACCCUUUAGAGUUGGAUGUUAGUAGUAAGAGCCAAUUCAGUCUUUCAACAUCGAGAAGCCCAAAUCCAUUCACAACGGUACCUCCUUCAUCAACAACCAAUCCUUUCAAGCCUGCUACGCCAAGUAAUUCAAAUCCAUUCCAGGCUGAUGCUACCGCUGUUGUUUCUUCAAGCCCUUAUUCUAUAUCAGGUCAAGGUCCAAUUUCUUCUUCAACUCCUCUUACUGGUGUGAAAAAAAUGUUGGUCGCUGAGGGUAGUCUACAAGAGGCUGGUUUACCAUCCACAGCUGAUUUGAACAUUCCCCAUGGUGUGUGUCCUCUCAGUAACUCAACACCAGUUGACAACAACCAGGCAGUGGUUGCUCAAGAUCAAGUUGAUGCAAGAUCUAAAGUACCAGUUAGUAAAACUCAACAGCCUGCCCAAGUUUGCGAAGAGCCACUGCACGAGGAGAGGUCAUUGACCACAAGUGGCUCAUGGUCUAUGCUUCUCCGCUUCCCUGACAAGAAACAGAAAAUUGGAUCUCGUGAGUGGAAGCCAGUGGUUAUAAAGUUAGAGGGUACCACCUUACAGAUUUUUGAGGAGUAUGAAUUAUCAGCACCCUUCAGAGAGAUUCCUCUACAAGCAUAUUUUGUGUUCACGACACCAAAGUUGCAGUCCUUUGAACAUGGAGCUAAAGUUCAUGCAGUUAAGUUAAAGUAUGUUAAGUACUCAGAAACUAGAAGCCUACGUCAUCGUGGCACUGUUGAACAUGUGGCACAAGGAACACCCAUCAUUAAAGUGGCAUCUCCAAGUCACAAAGUCAUCAGAGAACUUCUUGAAUCUUUCAACAACUCCGUUCGUCUUCUUCCAUCUUACAGAGACAGAGGAAUAACAUACCGUCAUGAUGAAGUGUUUGUUGAUAUUGAAGAUGUCACAAAUGUUCUAUCAUCUGGUGAUGGUACCAUUCUAAAGAAGAAUUCAAAAGUUUUAGUCAAGUUUCGUGCUUUUCUUACAGGUGAUCCUGAAUGUCAGUUAGUUCUAAAUGAUAUUGUUCUAAGAGAACGAGAGGAAGCUCGUCUACAAUCCGAGGAAAAACCUCAGAGGGUUCAUCAUUGGGUGAAACUGCGUCGUUGUGAUUUUCAUAAGUGUGUCAAUGUCACAACUUUUGAACAAUCACAUGCUAUUACAUUUCAUCCAUUAGAUGCAUGUACUUUUGAGCUCAUGCGAUUUCCAGUUGACCAUCACAAGCCUUUACCUCUUCUGUUAAAGACUGUGUUGAAUGUCCAUAGUGAGCAAAGAGUUGAACUCAAAGUAGAAAUCCAAGUGUGUCAGGAAGCAAAGAUGGCGAAGUACAUUCGAAACAAUGUGAUUUUCAGAUUUCCCAUUCCAGAAACUUGGGUACCUCUUUUUAGAACAACAAAGGCCUUUAGAGGCGAGAAGUCCAUCAAAUCCAGUAAGGGGAACCGAGCUGCAGGAAUUAAGAGCAGACUGAGGAAUUCUAAGUGUUCCAUUGCUGUGUCUCUUGGCAAAGCAAAGUAUGAACCAGAAUAUGCAUCUUUGGUGUGGAGAAUUGAUCAACUACCUUUCAUCCACAGCAGAAUUCCAGCGGAUGCACCACAAACACUCACGUGUGUUCUAGAUCUGCCUCCUGGAAUGGAAUACCCAGAAAACUUCAAACCCACUGCAGAGCUUGAGUAUGAUGUGGCCUAUGUGCUAGUUUCGGAUACCACAGUGAUUGCUGUCAAAGUAUCCAAUCAGAACAUUCCUGACAAAUGGGUCUGCUACAGGGCACUGUACCACUAUGAGGUCAACAUUGACAUUUCCAGACCAGCCUCUGGUCCAGUCAGAGAUGUCGGGUGUACACAGCAGUAGAAGGAAGCAGGACAAGAGUACUGUUCUCAGUUAUAUUUGGUCAGGUGAACAAAUUCUAAUGGAUGACAGUGUCAUAAUGGAAGGCCAAAUACAUGUCACCUUGGCCAUGGUUUGCGAUGAAUUGUUGAGUCUUACCUACAUGUUUUAUAAUUUCUGUUGUUGCUGUACUUUUUUUGUUAAAAGAAUGGGAGAGGAAUAGCAACUCUUAAAGAAACUGCAGGAAUAUCAUAUUGUUUUCAGCCAUUUUUAAGUAACAUUUUAGAGAAUUUGACUUGAAAUAGUUUGGUAGUGUGGAAAAACAUCAAAGAGAUAAAAAUUUUCUGAAAAGGAAUGAGAGUGUUCAUAGAUGGAUAGGAUAAAUGCAGAUUGCCAACAUUGAACCCAAAGCAUUCAGGUUUUUUUUUAUUAGUUUUAAUUUUUUUUGUGAUUAUGUGCAAACUGUGCUGUGGCUCUGGUUAGAAAAACAUUUUUAUUUUUAGAGUUCAGUCCUGAGCCAAGUUCAUAAGAUUUUCUUGAGCAGCUCUGCCUUCUUUCUGUUUCAUUCCUUUUUUUGUUUUCAAUUUUAAGAUAGGUGUAAUCCUUAAUGAUGGUGACAUGAUUAUAGAGUUCAACUAUUUUUUGUGAGACUCUUUCACAUGCUCUUUCUGUUUGGUUUAUAUUUUGGCUCAAGUACUGACAGCUGCUUUCUGUUCAGGAAAAUCUUUCCAACAGUGUAAUUAACAAUUUCCUAAAGAAACUGUUGUGUCAAUCAAAUGAAUGGUCUCAAGUCAAGUGCUAAAAAUUGCAUGUGGUAUUGCAUUCCAAUUUUUCAGGCUAGAAUAUCAAAAAUUUGUUGCUUAGAACUUGUGGCUUGUAAACUUGCCUGUGAGUAAUUAAUAAGAAAAAACAGAGUGUGGUAUCACUUUCAACAGUUAAUUUUAAGUUGCUAAAGCAGUACAGGGAUGAACUUUGCUUUCUGAUGUUUUUGGGAUUCUUUUUCUUUUUUACUAGUUUCUAUUAUUUAUGAGAAAUUUAAGUCAGUGCAAAGACUAUCACAUCAGAGAGAAUAUUUUAUCACAGCUUUUCAUUUUAGCGAUCUCAUACCAUCCCUUACUUUUAAUUUGUUUCAUUUAUUAUUAACCUUUUAAAGUAUAGCACAGAGUAAUUGUUGUCAAGUUGUAACAAUACAGCAUCAUUUGAGAACUGAAUUUUAUAUUUUUUAAUGGAAUAAGGAGUUUUUUAUGUGUACUACAGUGCUUCUGAAGGGAAGUUAUAACUUUUAUUUGAAAUGUUUUUGGUGAAAGUUUUACUAUUUUCAAGUUAGAGUAAAAAUUACUCCCUCAGUGUGAUGACCUACUUGAAAAACAGGAAAAAAAAACCUUAAGUGUUAUUUCUGUGGCACUUGAAAUAUUGGCAGUUAGUUUGAAUGUACACCUCAAGUGUUUGGAGCAAUCCUUUUAAAUGUGUUAUCUUCCAGAAUACCAUCGGCUAUAACAAGAAGUACAACAGCAGGUUCAUAAAAGAAGAUUUUAUCAAACAGACCAUUUCAGAAAAGACCUAAGCCUCUGUUUCAAGGUGAGGCUUGUUGCAUAACCUUUGUUGGGAUAAUGACCUUUUAUUGAUAGGCAAAUUUAAGUCAUUUUCACAAUGAAGGCUUUGCACAGGGCUCAUUUUCAAAUGAGGGCUCUUGAAGCUCAGAAAUGGCCUGUUUUUU